Molecule: ribosomal RNA, 631 nt
Filed under: uncultured Streptococcus sp.
Lineage: Bacteria; Bacillati; Bacillota; Bacilli; Lactobacillales; Streptococcaceae
Description: bacterial SSU rRNA
Rfam family: Bacterial small subunit ribosomal RNA
Source: RNAcentral
UAGAGUUUGAUCAUGGCUCAGGACGAACGCUGGCGGCGUGCCUAAUACAUGCAAGUAGAACGCUGAAGAGAGGAGCUUGCUCUUCUUGGAUGAGUUGCGAACGGGUGAGUAACGCGUAGGUAACCUGCCUUGUAGCGGGGGAUAACUAUUGGAAACGAUAGCUAAUACCGCAUAACAAUGGAUGACACAUGUCAUUUAUUUGAAAGGGGCAAUUGUUCCACUACAAGAUGGACCUGCGUUGUAUUAGCUAGUAGGUGAGGUAAUGGCUCACCUAGGCGACGAUACAUAGCCGACCUGAGAGGGUGAUCGGCCACACUGGGACUGAGACACGGCCCAGACUCCUACGGGAGGCAGCAGUAGGGAAUCUUCGGCAAUGGGGGCAACCCUGACCGAGCAACGCCGCGUGAGUGAAGAAGGUUUUCGGAUCGUAAAGCUCUGUUGUAAGUCAAGAACGGGUGUGAGAGUGGAAAGUUCACACUGUGACGGUAGCUUACCAGAAAGGGACGGCUAACUACGUGCCAGCAGCCGCGGUAAUACGUAGGUCCCGAGCGUUGUCCGGAUUUAUUGGGCGUAAAGCGAGCGCAGGUGGUUUAUUAAGUCUGGUGUAAAAGGCAGUGGCUCAACCAUUGUA